RNAcentral lists this ribosomal RNA (468 nucleotides) under uncultured bacterium. RNAcentral's name for it is "partial 16S ribosomal RNA". It matches the Rfam family "Bacterial small subunit ribosomal RNA", at positions 28 to 507 of the family's 1533-position model. The record is from RNAcentral.
GACGAACGCUGGCGGCGUGCUUAACACAUGCAAGUCGAACGGAAAGGCCCUGCUUUUGUGGGGUGCUCGAGUGGCGAACGGGUGAGUGACACGUGAGUAACCUGCCCUUGACUUUGGGAUAACUUCAGGAAACUGGGGCUAAUACCGGAUAGGAGCUCCUGCUGCAUGGUGGGGGUUGGAAAGUUUCGGCGGUUGUGGAUGGACUCGCGGCUUAUCAGCUUGAUGGUGGGGUAGUGGCUUACCAAGGCUGUGACGGGUAGCCGGCCUGGGAGGGUGACCGGGCACAUGGGGACUGAGAGACGGCCCAGAAUCGUAUGGGAGGCAGCAGUGGGGAAUAUUGCACAGUGGGGGGAAGCCUGAUGCAGCAAUGCCGCGUGCGGGAUGACGGCCUUCGGGUUGUAAACCGCUUUCGACUGUGACGAAGCGUGAGUGACGGUAAUGGGUAAAGAAGCACCGGCUAACUACGUG